RNAcentral lists this non-coding RNA (117 nucleotides) under uncultured Bermanella sp. RNAcentral describes it as "Moco (molybdenum cofactor) riboswitch". The stretch from base 6 to 108 matches the Rfam family "Molybdenum/Tungsten riboswitch aptamer (Moco RNA motif)", at positions 13 to 119 of the family's 135-position model. The record is from RNAcentral. Lineage: Bacteria; Pseudomonadati; Pseudomonadota; Gammaproteobacteria; Oceanospirillales; Oceanospirillaceae.
CAAAGCACCGAGCUAUCACUCCUAAACCUUGUUCACCAUGGAAGGAACGGAGCCUAGCCGAUGGGUUGCAAUAGAAAUGCUGCAGCCUCCCCUUAUUUUGGAAAGGUGUCACAGUGA